Molecule: ribosomal RNA, 250 nt
Filed under: uncultured prokaryote
Description: partial 16S rRNA
Rfam family: Bacterial small subunit ribosomal RNA
Source: RNAcentral
ACGGAGGGUGCAAGCGUUGUUCGGAAUUACUGGGCGUAAAGGGGGCGUAGGCGGUUGUGUUAGUCAGAUGUGGAAUACUUUAGCUCAACUGGAGAAAGCAUUUGAUACUGCAUGACUAGAGUACAGGAGAGGGAAAUGGAAUUCCCGGUGUAGAGGUGAAAUUCGUAGAUAUCGGGAGGAACACCAGUGGCGAAGGCGAUUUCCUGGCCUGAUACUGACGCUGAGGCGCGAAAGCGUGGGGAGCAAACAG